Molecule: ribosomal RNA, 756 nt
Filed under: uncultured bacterium
Lineage: Bacteria
Description: bacterial SSU rRNA
Rfam family: Bacterial small subunit ribosomal RNA
Source: RNAcentral
GCAGCACGGAGCUUGCUCUGGUGGCGAGUGGCGAACGGGUGAGUAAUAUAUCGGAACGUACCCUGGAGUGGGGGAUAACGUAGCGAAAGUUACGCUAAUACCGCAUACGAUACACGGAUGAAAGUGGGGGAUCGCAAGACCUCAUGCUCGUGGAGCGGCCGAUAUCUGAUUAGCUAGUUGGUAGGGUAAAAGCCUACCAAGGCAUCGAUCAGUAGCUGGUCUGAGAGGACGACCAGCCACACUGGAACUGAGACACGGUCCAGACUCCUACGGGAGGCAGCAGUGGGGAAUUUUGGACAAUGGGCGCAAGCCUGAUCCAGCAAUGCCGCGUGAGUGAAGAAGGCCUUCGGGUUGUAAAGCUCUUUUGUCAGGGAAGAAACGGUGGGAGCUAAUAUCUCCUGCUAAUGACGGUACCUGAAGAAUAAGCACCGGCUAACUACGUGCCAGCAGCCGCGGUAAUACGUAGGGUGCAAGCGUUAAUCGGAAUUACUGGGCGUAAAGCGUGCGCAGGCGGUUUUGUAAGUCUGAUGUGAAAUCCCCGGGCUCAACCUGGGAAUUGCAUUGGAGACUGCAAGGCUAGAAUCUGGCAGAGGGGGGUAGAAUUCCACGUGUAGCAGUGAAAUGCGUAGAUAUGUGGAGGAACACCGAUGGCGAAGGCAGCCCCCUGGGUCAAGAUUGACGCUCAUGCACGAAAGCGUGGGGAGCAAACAGGAUUAGAUACCCUGGUAGUCCACGCCCUAAACGAUGUCUACUAGU